AUAGGGGAGGCGUAGCGAAAGCGAGUCUUAAUAGGGCGUUUAGUCGCUGGGUAUAGACCCGAAACCGGGCGAUCUAUCCAUGGGCAGGUUGAAGGUUAGGUAACACUGACUGGAGGACCGAACCGACUCCCGUUGAAAAGGUAGCGGAUGACUUGUGGAUCGGAGUGAAAGGCUAAUCAAGCUCGGAGAUAGCUGGUUCUCCUCGAAAGCUAUUUAGGUAGCGCCUCACGUAUCACUCCAGGGGGUAGAGCACUGUUUCGGCUAGGGGGUCAUCCCGACUUACCAAACCGAUGCAAACUCCGAAUACCUGGAAGUGCCGAGCGUGGGAGACACACGGCGGGUGCUAACGUCCGUCGUGAAAAGGGAAACAACCCAGACCGUCAGCUAAGGUCCCAAAGUUGUGGUUAAGUGGUAAACGAUGUGGGAAGGCUUAGACAGCUAGGAGGUUGGCUUAGAAGCAGCCACCCUUUAAAGAAAGCGUAAUAGCUCACUAGUCGAGUCGGCCUGCGCGGAAGAUGUAACGGGG
This 526-nucleotide ribosomal RNA is filed under the name uncultured bacterium. RNAcentral describes it as "bacterial LSU rRNA". It matches the Rfam family "Bacterial large subunit ribosomal RNA", at positions 657 to 1180 of the family's 2925-position model. The record is from RNAcentral.